This 450-nucleotide ribosomal RNA is filed under the name uncultured bacterium. RNAcentral describes it as "bacterial SSU rRNA". It matches the Rfam family "Bacterial small subunit ribosomal RNA", at positions 29 to 524 of the family's 1533-position model. The record is from RNAcentral.
AACGAACGCUGGCGGCAGGCCUAACACAUGCAAGUCGAACGCGUCCUUCGGGACGAGUGGCAGACGGGUGAGUAACGCGUGGGAACGUACCCUUUGGUUCGGAACAACAGCGGGAAACUGCUGCUAAUACCGGAUAAGCCCUUCGGGGGAAGAUUUAUCGCCAGAGGAUCGGCCCGCGUUAGAUUAGCUUGUUGGUGAGGUAAUGGCUCACCAAGGCUACGAUCUAUAGCUGGUCUGAGAGGAUGAUCAGCCACACUGGGACUGAGACACGGCCCAGACUCUUACGGGAGGCAGCAGUGGGGAAUCUUGGACAAUGGGCGAAAGCCUGAUCCAGCCAUGCCGCGUGAAUGAUGAAGGCCCUAGGGUUGUAAAAUUCUUUCGACGGGGGAAGAUAAUGACGGUACCCGUAGAAGAAGCUCCGGCUAACUUCGUGCCAGCAGCCGCGGUAAU